AACGAACGCUGGCGGCAGGCCUAACACAUGCAAGUCGAGCGCCCUUUCGGGGGAGCGGCGGACGGGUGAGUAACGCGUGGGAAUAUGCCCUUCUCUACGGAAUAGCCUCGGGAAACUGAGAGUAAUACCGUAUACGCCCUGUGGGGGAAAGAUUUAUCGGGGAAGGAUUAGCCCGCGUUGGAUUAGGUAGUUGGUGGGGUAAUGGCCUACCAAGCCGACGAUCCAUAGCUGGGUUGAGAGGAUGAUCAGCCACACUGGGACUGAGACACGGCCCAGACUCCUACGGGAGGCAGGAGGGGGGAAUCUUAGACAAUGGGGGCAACCCUGAUCGAGCCAUGCCGCGUGAGUGAUGAAGGCCUUAGGGUUGUAAAGCUCUUUCAGCUGGGAAGAUAAUGACGGUACCAGCAGAAGAAGCCCCGGCUAACUCCGUG
Molecule: ribosomal RNA, 431 nt
Filed under: uncultured bacterium
Lineage: Bacteria
Description: partial 16S ribosomal RNA
Rfam family: Bacterial small subunit ribosomal RNA
Source: RNAcentral